GACGAACGCUGGCGGCGUGCUUAACACAUGCAAGUCGAACGGAAAGGCCCUGCUUUUGUGGGGUGCUCGAGUGGCGAACGGGUGAGUAACACGUGAGUAACCUGCCCUUGACUUUGGGAUAACUUCAGGAAACUGGGGCUAAAACCGGAUAGGAGCUCCUGCUGCAUGGUGGGGGUUGGAAAGUUUCGGCGGUUGGGGAUGGACUCGCGGCUUAUCAGCUUGUUGGUGGGGUAGUGGCUUACCAAGGCUUUGACGGGUAGCCGGCCUGAGAGGGUGACCGGCCACAUUGGGACUGAGAUACGGCCCAGACUCCUACGGGAGGCAGCAGUGGGGAAUAUUGCACAAUGGGCGGAAGCCUGAUGCAGCAACGCCGCGUGCGGGAUGGCGGCCUUCGGGUUGUAAACCGCUUUCGCCUGUGACGAAGCGUGAGUGACGGUAAUGGGUAAAGAAGCACCGGCUAACUACGUG
RNAcentral lists this ribosomal RNA (468 nucleotides) under uncultured bacterium. Its description in RNAcentral is "partial 16S ribosomal RNA". It matches the Rfam family "Bacterial small subunit ribosomal RNA", at positions 28 to 507 of the family's 1533-position model. The record is from RNAcentral.